ACUGGGACUGAGACACGGCCCAGACUCCUACGGGAGGCAGCAGUGGGGAAUUUUCCGCAAUGGGCGCAAGCCUGACGGAGCAAUACCGCGUGAGGGAGGAAGGCUUUUGGGUUGUAAACCUCUUUUCUCAAGGAAGAAGUACUGACGGUACUUGAGGAAUCAGCAUCGGCUAACUCCGUGCCAGCAGCCGCGGUAAUACGGAGGAUGCAAGCGUUAUCCGGAAUUAUUGGGCGUAAAGCGUCCGCAGGUGGUUAUUCAAGUCUGCUGUCAAAGACCACGGCUUAACUGCGGGAAGGCAGUGGAAACUGGUUAACUAGAGUACGGUAGGGGUAGAGGGAAUUCCCAGUGUAGCGGUGAAAUGCGUAGAGAUUGGAAAGAACACCAGUGGCGAAGGCGCUCUACUGGACCUGAACUGACACUCAGGGACGAAAGCUAGGGGAGCGAAAGGGAUUAGAUACCCCUGUAGUCCUAGCUGUAAACGAUGGAUACUAGGCGUUGCUUGUAUCGACCCGAGCAGUGCCGUAGCUAACGCGUUAAGUAUCCCGCCUGGGGAGUACGCACGCAAGUGUGAAACUCAUAGGAAUUGACGGGGGCCCGCACAAGCGGUGGAGUAUGUGGUUUAAUUCGAUGCAACGCGAAGAACCUUACCAGGACUUGACAUCCC
RNAcentral lists this ribosomal RNA (664 nucleotides) under uncultured cyanobacterium. RNAcentral's name for it is "bacterial SSU rRNA". It matches the Rfam family "Bacterial small subunit ribosomal RNA", at positions 312 to 990 of the family's 1533-position model. The record is from RNAcentral. Lineage: Bacteria; Bacillati; Cyanobacteriota.